GUAGCUCAGCGGUAGAGCAUUGGACUUUUAAUCCAAUGGCCGUGGGUUCGAUUCCAAAUC
RNAcentral lists this transfer RNA (60 nucleotides) under Cyanidioschyzon merolae strain 10D. It matches the Rfam family "tRNA", at positions 7 to 64 of the family's 71-position model. Rfam says of the family: Transfer RNA (tRNA) molecules are approximately 80 nucleotides in length. Their secondary structure includes four short double-helical elements and three loops (D, anti-codon, and T loops). Further hydrogen bonds mediate the characteristic L-shaped molecular structure. tRNAs have two regions of fundamental functional importance: the anti-codon, which is responsible for specific mRNA codon recognition, and the 3' end, to which the tRNAs corresponding amino acid is attached (by aminoacyl-tRNA synthetases). tRNAs cope with the degeneracy of the genetic code in two manners: having more than one tRNA (with a specific anti-codon) for a particular amino acid; and 'wobble' base-pairing, i.e. permitting non-standard base-pairing at the 3rd anti-codon position. Lineage: Eukaryota; Rhodophyta; Bangiophyceae; Cyanidiales; Cyanidiaceae. The record is from Rfam by way of RNAcentral.